AUUGAACGCUGGCGGCAGGUCUAACACAUGCAAGUCGAGCGGAUGAAGGGAGCUUGCUCCUGGAUUCAGCGGCGGACGGGUGGGUAAUGCCUAGGAAUCUGCCUGGUAGUGGGGGAUAACGUCCGGAAACGGGCGCUAAUACCGCAUACGUCCUGAGGGAGAAAGUGGGGGAUCUUCGGACCUCACGCUAUCAGAUGAGCCUAGGUCGGAUUAGCUAGUUGGUGGGGUAAAGGCCUACCAAGGCGACGAUCCGUAACUGGUCUGAGAGGAUGAUCAGUCACACUGGAACUGAGACACGGUCCAGACUCCUACGGGAGGCAGCAGUGGGGAAUAUUGGACAAUGGGCGAAAGCCUGAUCCAGCCAUGCCGCGUGUGUGAAGAAGGUCUUCGGAUUGUAAAGCACUUUAAGUUGGGAGGAAGGGCAGUAAGUUAAUACCUUGCUGUUUUGACGUUACCAACAGAAUAAGCACCGGCUAACUUCGUG
RNAcentral lists this ribosomal RNA (484 nucleotides) under uncultured bacterium. RNAcentral describes it as "partial 16S ribosomal RNA". It matches the Rfam family "Bacterial small subunit ribosomal RNA", at positions 30 to 507 of the family's 1533-position model. The record is from RNAcentral.